CUGUAAGCCUGCGAAGGUGGCCUGUGAGGGUUGCUGGAGGUAUCAGAAGUGCGAAUGCUGACAUAAGUAACGAUAAAGCGGGUGAAAAGCCCGCUCGCCGGAAGACCAAGGGUUCCUGUCCAACGUUAAUCGGGGCAGGGUGAGUCGACCCCUAAGGCGAGGCCGAAAGGCGUAGUCGAUGGGAAACGGGUUAAUAUUCCCGUACUUGGUGUUACUGCGAAGGGGGGACGGAGAAGGCUAUGUUGGCCGGGCGACGGUU
RNAcentral lists this ribosomal RNA (259 nucleotides) under Salmonella enterica subsp. enterica serovar Rubislaw. RNAcentral describes it as "partial 23S ribosomal RNA". It matches the Rfam family "Bacterial large subunit ribosomal RNA", at positions 1241 to 1503 of the family's 2925-position model. Lineage: Bacteria; Pseudomonadati; Pseudomonadota; Gammaproteobacteria; Enterobacterales; Enterobacteriaceae. The record is from RNAcentral. RNAcentral also lists the same sequence under 4 other names.